This is a non-coding RNA of Camelina sativa (false flax), 377 nucleotides long. Lineage: Eukaryota; Viridiplantae; Streptophyta; Magnoliopsida; Brassicales; Brassicaceae. The record is from RefSeq and is a predicted model, not a curated record.
GAAAUCCCUGACAAUGCCGCGCUCGAGAAUAAGGACAUCAAUGGUCCAAAGGAUCUGUGAAGAAAUUAAAAAGAGUUUUGAUGCUUCGUCUUCUGACUUCCUCUUCUCUAGUAAAUGAGAGCACUUUUGGUAAAACUUUUUUCAUGUGAAAAGAUCACAAGAACAACGAGAAGUGGUUUUUUUUCUUUUGUGCAGUUAAGCCCCACAAAGUACGUUUUGAGUUUACUAUUUCCUUACAUUGAUUUUUUUUUUGUUUUUCUUUUUUUUUUCUUUCAUUAAUUUGAUGCGAAGUUUCUCAUGUCUUUUUGGAUAAUGGUGAAAUGAACUCUUUCUGUUGAAGUUAUCUUUGCUUGCGAUCACAAUUUUUCUGUGGCUUA